UGCCUCGUCCUGCGCCAGACGCGCGGCGUGGAUGCAAAGCCAGGAGGGAGGGACGCACGCGGGGGUCUCUCAAGUCCGACCAGUAGCAGCAGCAGCAGCAGCAGCACCACACGGGAUUUCCUACACAUUUAAAACCUCCUCGCAGAAGAGAGGCACACCGCAUCGUCUCUCUUUCGAGUCGGGCGCAAAGAAGCCAGAGCGUCGACUGUGAACCGGAGAGUCGUCUCUCAAGCGUGGCAGUGAGGUCAUUGGGCUGAGGGAUGGUUUGUCCUUUUCAGUGCAAGACUGACUACUGUUGUUGAUGAUCAAGCAAAAACUACAAUAUCUGAAAACCUUCCCAGUUGGCCUACAAGGAAGUAUACUUUUUGGACAGCUCACCACGAAAGCACCAAGAACACAGGAGGAGGAAAUAUCAAAGGCAUUGAACAUUGCUGGAUGAGCUGGCUGUGAAAAAGGGGGGAAAUAAUCUCAAAAGCUUUUUUUUUUUUUUUUUUUUUCGAAGAAGAAGAAGAGAGCUCAUCUCUUGUUUGGAACGUUCUCGUUGAAAAGUGCUGUUAUGUCAUGUGAAACUAUCGGGCAAGUGGGUCAGAGAUGGAAUCCGAGUGAGUGACCAUGUUACAAUACAACUCUUGGCAGGACAAAGGAAUCGAAACUGACCUAUAAACCUGCAUCUAGUAUAUAACUGAACAUUUUUGAUCCCAUGGAUUAACAUUCACCUCUUUGCAACGUGGACA
Phyllopteryx taeniolatus (common seadragon) is the source of this 734-nucleotide long non-coding RNA. RefSeq lists it as uncharacterized. The transcript has 3 exons. The record is from RefSeq and is a predicted model, not a curated record. Lineage: Eukaryota; Metazoa; Chordata; Actinopteri; Syngnathiformes; Syngnathidae.